CCAGACAUCGAUUGGUUCACUUAUCCUUCACUCCGCGAGACAGGCGAGACUGCAGGGCUCUGGAGCGCGUUUUUGAAUUUGUAGCGCGUAUAGAGUCCGUGAGGUACCUUGUGGAGUUCGUGCUGUGGCUGGAGCCAGCUACUCAGGGUGAACUCUGAAGUCCUGAGCUAUGGCAGAACUCAAGCCCCUCAAGUCACAUAGAAAUCUACCCAUCAAACACUGGAUUGCCAUAGAGAUCGUACCCCAUAUCCUGGAGAAAGGACUGCUGCACAGAGAAGCCAAAAAGAACAGACAGCCUCAGUGGAUUAGCAACCAUGUCUAUGCAGCGGUGUCUCCACAAAAACCCUAAAAGGUGCCAGGUAAAAAGAUCAGAGCUACAAAAUAAUUGACUAAUUACUUCAAAAGUGACAACAUCCCUCUUCAAAAUGAAAGGACAAAAACAAACACAUACAAAAAGCGCCUGCCCCUGGCUCAGCGCCCGGUGCCAACAGAACACCUUUCAGGAUUCACAGCAGCGCAGACAACACCUUUAUGCUCGCUUCUCUACAUUCUUCAGAGCUGUAAAAUUGGCAUCUUUCCCUGAGGUUUUCCGAAAGAAGUCCAGGAUCCCGGCCUCUGAUUGGAACAGAACAGUGUCAUGGCGGAGACGACGGCCUUUGUCUUGCUGGAUGUGAAAACAUCCGCUGUGCUGGCUCCACUGCGGCAGAAUCAAGUUUAAAGGAAAAAAAGUGAUUAAAGUCAGCUUUGUGCCUCUUUGGUGUGGAAGACCCACAGACCUCAAGUAGCCGACUCCCAGGUCCGAGGAAGGGCUCAUAGUUGGAGCAGCCUAGGCUGUAAUCCUGGCACUGGCGCCUUCGGUUGCUGCUUGCUGUUCGCUCCUGGGGGUCUGGAUAAUCUCCCUUGGCUUUACCGCACUGUCUGGCCCGCAUACAGGGCCCCGUAACAUAUACCCGCUCCUGCUAUCACACGAAACUGUGGCGUUGCCCCUGAAUGGAUGGCACCGUGCCAACUCUUCUGCCAUCCGCCCUUGCAGCUUUUUUCUUUCCUCCCUCCCUCCCCUUCUUCUCCUCCUCCCGUCGACUUGACGUUAAUUAACACACGGGUUAAUUGAUUUUAAAAGCCGAAGAAUUACAGUUAACUUUUCCCACAGGGUACAGACGCCAGCCGCUUGGCACACUCUGCCUUUCGCACUAGUUAGUGCAGGGGGGCAGGGAAAGCCCACAGCAAAACUAGCAACUGCUGAAGGAACGUUGCUUGCUUAUUGGAGUAGAGCCGACAGAAGUCGACGUGGCACUGCCUCAUCCUUUGCAAUAUAUGUAGCCAUUAUAUAUUUUGCUAAAUAAUCAAAACAGAACCCUAGCUUUCUUCUCCCUUCCUCUUUCAAAAUGGGAAAACCUUUCUGAAGUUCACUUAGAGGGGGGGAAAAACCCUCCCCAGGACCAUUUAUCUCAUCUAUAAUAUGCUUUUUUUCCCCAGCAUCAUGAAAAUAACCAGUGCCUUUUAAUUUUUUAAUCUUUAUAUAUUUAUUUUUUAGUUUGAAAAAAGGAAGUCUCUCCCUUCCUUUAAUAUUACUGGCAUAGGAGAUUAUUAUUUUAAAGAAAAAGUUCCAUGAAGUUUUUUUCUAUACCUGAGUGUUUUGUUUGGUUUCCAUUCCUCUUGACCUAAAUGGGUUAUUUAUUGUAAAAGAUUACAG
This 1693-nucleotide long non-coding RNA is filed under the name Heterocephalus glaber (naked mole-rat). RNAcentral describes it as "lncRNA (ENSHGLG00000037624.1)". The record is from RNAcentral. Lineage: Eukaryota; Metazoa; Chordata; Mammalia; Rodentia; Bathyergidae.